GAUGAACGCUGGCGGCGUGCCUAAUACAUGCAAGUCGAGCGAACAGACGAGGAGCUUGCUCCUCUGACGUUAGCGGCGGACGGGUGAGUAACACGUGGAUAACCUACCUAUAAGACUGGGAUAACUUCGGGACACCGGAGCUAAUACCGGAUAAUAUAUUGAACCGCAUGGUUCAAUAGUGAAAGACGGUUUUGCUGUCACUUAUAGAUGGAUCCGCGCCGCAUUAGCUAGUUGGUAAGUUAACGGCUUACCAAGGCAACGAUGCGUAGCCGACCUGAGAGGGUGAUCGGCCACACUGGAACUGAGACACGGUCCAGACUCCUACGGGAGGCAGCAGUAGGGAAUCUUCCGCAAUGGGCGAAAGCUUGACGGAGCAACGCCGCGUGAGUGAUGAAGGUCUUCGGAUCGUAAAACUCUGUUAUUAGGGAAGAACAAAUGUGUAAGUAACUAUGCACGUCUUGACGGUACCUAAUCAGAAAGCCACGGCUAACUACGUG
RNAcentral lists this ribosomal RNA (497 nucleotides) under uncultured bacterium. Its description in RNAcentral is "partial 16S ribosomal RNA". It matches the Rfam family "Bacterial small subunit ribosomal RNA", at positions 28 to 507 of the family's 1533-position model. The record is from RNAcentral.